RNAcentral lists this ribosomal RNA (237 nucleotides) under uncultured bacterium. RNAcentral's name for it is "partial small subunit ribosomal RNA". It matches the Rfam family "Bacterial small subunit ribosomal RNA", at positions 26 to 288 of the family's 1533-position model. The record is from RNAcentral.
AGAGCGAACGCUGGCGGCAGGCUUAACACAUGCAAGUCGAGCGGGCGUAGCAAUACGUCAGCGGCAGACGGGUGAGUAACGCGUGGGAACGUACCUUUUGGUUCGGAACAACCCAGGGAAACUUGUGCUAAAUACCGGAUAAGCCCUUACGGGGAAAGAUUUAUCGCCGAAAGAUUGGCCCGCGUCUGAUUAGCUAGUUGGUGGGGUAAUGGCCUACCAAGGCAACGAUCAGUAUCC